This 380-nucleotide ribosomal RNA is filed under the name uncultured bacterium. RNAcentral's name for it is "bacterial SSU rRNA". It matches the Rfam family "Bacterial small subunit ribosomal RNA", at positions 155 to 569 of the family's 1533-position model. The record is from RNAcentral.
AACGGCUGCUAAUACCGCAUAAGACCGCAUGGUAAAAACUCCGGUGGUAUGAGAUGGACCCGCGUCUGAUUAGGUAGUUGGUGGGGUAACGGCCUACCAAGCCGACGAUCAGUAGCCGACCUGAGAGGGUGACCGGCCACAUUGGGACUGAAACACGGCCCAAACUCCUACGGGAGGCAGCAGUGGGGAAUAUUGCACAAUGGGGAAAACCCUGAUGCAGCGACGCCGCGUGAGCGAUGAAUUAUUUCGGUAUGUAAAGCUCUAUCAGCAGGGAAGAAAAUGACGGGCCCUGACUAAAAAGCCCCGGCUAACUACCUGCCAGCAGCCGCGGAAAUACGUAGGGGGCAAGCGUUAUCCGGAUUUACUGGGUGUAAAGGGAG